RNAcentral lists this long non-coding RNA (689 nucleotides) under Bos taurus (domestic cattle). RNAcentral describes it as "long non-coding RNA NONBTAT023423". Lineage: Eukaryota; Metazoa; Chordata; Mammalia; Artiodactyla; Bovidae. The record is from RNAcentral.
UUUCUAGCUUUUAGAACGAUGUGUGGAUGACUGCUUGGAGGUGAAAGCAAAUGCAUGGCUUGUUUGGGAGAUGAUGCCAGGAAUGGAAUGUUUAUCUUGGCAGAAUGAGAGAGAAAUUGGAAAUAGAUAAGUUAGCAGUAAGUUGGGCCUUAUAAUGAUUGUUGGAUUCUAGGCAGAUAUUCGAAGUUGAUUUAAUUACCUCAAGAAUCAUUGCAAAUUUUUGAGGUGGGAAUAAGAUGACAUGUUCCUUCAUGUCUUUUACAGUUUGUGGUAGUUGUGUCUGCUUUUCUCUUGAGAAAUUCAUUCACUUAGUCAUUCUAAUGACUGUUUACUAGUUAUCUAUGUGCCUGGUUCUCAGAAUUAGCUGAUACUUUGUUCUGCUGUUCUCUCUCACUUUCUUUGGACAUUACUUCACAUCUGUCUUAGAGAAUACUCAGUUACCACCCAAGAUUUGUAGCAUCAAUUAAGUUUUCUAAUUGCUCACUGCUCUCCUUAGAACUUAUUUGGUUUUAAGGUAGGGAGGAAAAACCUUGCACACUUGAAAAACAAACAGGAUAGGACAUGAUCCUUGCUCCUAAGUACGGGCUUGAGGAAUGUGACAGAGGAGUGCUUCAUGUCUUUCGCUGUGGAGAAGUCAGUGGUAGUUUGUUGUAUCCCUUGUUUGCCUUAUACUGGAGUUAGGUCUAGAA